Non-coding RNA from Phthorimaea operculella (potato tuberworm), 72 nucleotides. Lineage: Eukaryota; Metazoa; Arthropoda; Insecta; Lepidoptera; Gelechiidae. The record is from the annotation of a GenBank genome assembly.
GCAUCGAUAGCUCAGUGGCAGAGCGGUGGGGCGUUUACCCAUGCGGCGCGGGUUCGAUCCCCGGUCGAUGUA